Molecule: ribosomal RNA, 255 nt
Filed under: uncultured bacterium
Lineage: Bacteria
Description: partial 16S ribosomal RNA
Rfam family: Bacterial small subunit ribosomal RNA
Source: RNAcentral
UACGGGGGGGAGCAAGCGUUGUUCGGAUUUACUGGGCGUAAAGGGCGCGUAGGCGGUCGUGACAAGUCACUUGUGAAAUCUCCGGGCUUAACUCGGAACGGUCAAGUGAUACUGUCGUGCUAGAGUACAGAAGGGGCAACUGGAAUUCUCGGUGUAGCGGUGAAAUGCGUAGAUAUCGAGAGGAACACCUGCGGCGAAGGCGGGUUGCUGGGCUGACACUGACGCUGAGGCGCGAAAGCUAGGGGAGCGAACGGG